This 253-nucleotide ribosomal RNA is filed under the name uncultured bacterium. Its description in RNAcentral is "partial 16S ribosomal RNA". It matches the Rfam family "Bacterial small subunit ribosomal RNA", at positions 524 to 776 of the family's 1533-position model. The record is from RNAcentral.
UACAGAGGUCCCAAGCGUUGUUCGGAUUCAUUGGGCGUAAAGGGUGCGUAGGCGGCGCAGUAAGUCGGGUGUGAAAUCUCGGAGCUUAACUCCGAAACUGCAUUCGAUACUGCCGUGCUUGAGGACUGGAGAGGAGACUGGAAUUUACGGUGUAGCGGUGAAAUGCGUAGAUAUUCGCAAGAACACCAGUGGCGAAGGCGGCUCACUGGCCCGGUACUGACGCUGAGGUGCGAAAGCGUGGGGAGCAAACAGG